UGAGCAAUCUGCCCUUCUCAUCGGAAUAAGCGUUGGAAACGACGUCUAAUGCCGAAUACGACCUCCUUUCGCAUGAUCGGAGGUGGAAAGCUCCGGCGGAGAAGGAUGAGCUCGCGGCCUAUCAGCUAGUUGGUGUGGGUAAUGGCCCACCAAGGCGACGACGGGUAGCCGGCCUGAGAGGGUGACCGGCCACACGUGGGACUGAGACACGGCCCAGACUCCUAGUGGGAGG
Molecule: ribosomal RNA, 232 nt
Filed under: uncultured bacterium
Lineage: Bacteria
Description: partial 16S ribosomal RNA
Rfam family: Bacterial small subunit ribosomal RNA
Source: RNAcentral